GGUGAAAUGCGUAGAGAUCUGGAGGAAUACCGAUGGUGAAGGCAGCCUUCUGGCCUAACACUGACGCUGAGGUGCGAAAGCAUGGGGAGCAAACAGGAUUAGAUACCCUGGUAGUCCAUGCCGUAAACGAUGUCUACUAGCCGUUGGGGGACUUGAUCCUUUAGUGGCGCAGCUAACGCAUUAAGUAGACCGCCUGGGGAGUACGGUCGCAAGACUAAAACUCAAAUGAAUUGACGGGGGCCCGCACAAGCGGUGGAGCAUGUGGUUUAAUUCGAUGCAACGCGAAGAACCUUACCUGGCCUUGACAUGUCUGGAAUCCUGUAGAGAUACGGGAGUGCCUUCGGGAAUCAGAACACAGGUGCUGCAUGGCUGUCGUCAGCUCGUGUCGUGAGAUGUUGGGUUAAGUCCCGCAACGAGCGCAACCCUUGUCCUUAGUUGCCAGCACGUAAUGGUGGGAACUCUAGGGAGACUGCCGGUGACAAACCGGAGGAAGGCGGGGACGACGUCAAGUCAUCAUGGCCCUUACGGCCAGGGCUACACACGUGCUACAAUGGUCGGUACAGAGGGUUGCUAGCCCGCGAGGGUACGCUAAUCUCACAAAGCCGAUCGUAGUCCGGAUUGGAGUCUGCAACCCGACUCCAUGAAGUCGGAAUCGCUAGUAAUCACG
This 667-nucleotide ribosomal RNA is filed under the name uncultured bacterium. RNAcentral's name for it is "bacterial SSU rRNA". It matches the Rfam family "Bacterial small subunit ribosomal RNA", at positions 680 to 1346 of the family's 1533-position model. The record is from RNAcentral.